Molecule: long non-coding RNA, 215 nt
Filed under: Brassica rapa (field mustard)
Lineage: Eukaryota; Viridiplantae; Streptophyta; Magnoliopsida; Brassicales; Brassicaceae
Description: long non-coding RNA (BRAP_LNC004994)
Source: RNAcentral
AAAAACGUUAUAAUUUCAUUGGAUGGUUUUUUUUGAAUAUUUCUUUUUCAUUUAUUUUAAUCAAUCGCUUAUGUAAACAAGCCCAAAACUAUUGUCGAUUUUGUUAAGCCCAUAUAUAGCUAGGGGAUAAUAAUUAUCGAUUUAGUUUAGCCUUGGGUACCCGUUCGGAUUCGGGUCGGGUAUUUCGGAUUUUCGGGUAUUUCGGUAUAGAGGUG